UACGUAGGGACCGAGCGUUGUCCGGAUUCAUUGGGCGUAAAGAGCUCGUAGGCGGCUGCUCAAGUCGAAUGUGAAAACUCGAGGCUCAACCUCGAGCCUGCAUUCGAUACUGGGCGGCUAGAGUCUGGUAGGGGGAUCUGGAAUUCCUGGUGUAGCGGUGGAAUGCGCAGAUAUCAGGAGGAACACCGGUGGCGAAGGCGGGAUCCUGGGCCAGUACUGACGCUGAGACGCGAAAGCGUGGGGAGCGAACCGG
RNAcentral lists this ribosomal RNA (253 nucleotides) under uncultured bacterium. Its description in RNAcentral is "partial 16S ribosomal RNA". It matches the Rfam family "Bacterial small subunit ribosomal RNA", at positions 524 to 776 of the family's 1533-position model. The record is from RNAcentral.